AUGGCUACACGCUUGAACAAUCAGUUUCCGAGAGCUAAUUUUAUUGUUGAUCAACUAAAAUUUAGGGAGCAGCGGUUGAAGAAAGAAUAUUUCAUUGUCAAAUCUAUUGUAAAGAAGAGUGGCUUCGGUUUUGAUCCUAUUACAAAAAUGCCAACAACCAUUCCAGAAAAAUGGGAUGAAUUGAGCAAAGAACAACAGAAGUGGAGAUACAAAGCUUUCCCUUACUAUGAUGAUUUGCAUGCUGAUGGUUAG
RNAcentral lists this ribosomal RNA (252 nucleotides) under Triticum aestivum (bread wheat). Its description in RNAcentral is "partial small subunit ribosomal RNA". Lineage: Eukaryota; Viridiplantae; Streptophyta; Magnoliopsida; Poales; Poaceae. The record is from RNAcentral.